GGUGAGACGUCGGAGCAGGUUCAGUAGUACAAUAGUGAGGUCGAAAAGUGCCGAAGGACAAGGGAGCCCCCUAUAUAUAGAGGUAAUCAACGGUUCAGAUCUACUCAGAAUAACGGUUGAGAUGUGGGGACACUUCGAACAGAGUUCCGCAUUUAAGACCUCCUUGCCACGUGGGCUCCAUCGAGUGGUUGCCACCAUCAUUAAGGCACGUCAGCAGAAGGAAUUACGUUACUCGAAGUCCCA
RNAcentral lists this long non-coding RNA (243 nucleotides) under Actinidia chinensis (golden kiwifruit). RNAcentral describes it as "long non-coding RNA (ACHI_LNC008137)". Lineage: Eukaryota; Viridiplantae; Streptophyta; Magnoliopsida; Ericales; Actinidiaceae. The record is from RNAcentral.